UCCACCUAAAUGUCCGUUUGAGAACGGCAGGGGAAUUGGUCGAGAAUGUGUUGAUUGGCAUGUGUGCUUGAGAAUUCAACUCCAGGGCUGAGCUUUCUGAGGGAAUUUGGUGAUUCUACCUGAAAUUAGCAAUCUAAACUGACUAUAACGCAGGUUCACUUCUGUAUUGAUUUAAAAAAAUUCCUUUUCAACUUGCUUGAGAAGAUAUAAUAGGACAACAUAACUCUUCCUUUCAUACCGUUGUAUAAUAAUAUCAACCUAAAUCCAAUUCUACGGUGGUGUGCAUUGUCGUCUAAUUACUCGUCUAAUUACUUCUUCCUCUUAUCAUGUUUGUUGCAAAUAAUUGAAACAUAUGUUUGUUCAUAUUCAUUAAUUCUAUGUUAUUAACUUCUGCCUUUGUCCAUUUUAGAGGAUAUAUAUUAUUGCACUGGCAUGUGAAGUUUCAUCUCCCAUUUCUUUCCUUAAUGAUGCAUCGAUUUUAUAAGAUCACAUUCAUAAAGUACAAAGUAAUUUUUUUUCAAGAUAAAGAUAUGAUAUAUCUGGAUAAGAAAUGGGAGAAAUUGAAGGUAUAUAAAAGAGUGUGAGGUUAUCAUAAAUAUUUUGUUAAAGCUAAUACAUUUAUGGUUUUUAAAUUUAGAUAAGAAUUUAUGAAAGUUAAACUGAUGCGUUUGAAAUUAAACAAGUAUACAAGUAAAUAUAUAUAUAUAUAUAUAUAUAUAUAUACAUGGGAUACAAGGAAGAUAAAAACAAAAAAAAUAAAAAAUUGCUAUAUGUAAUUACAUCUAGCAAUUUUGUGACAUGAUUAAAUUAUUUUUGUGCAGAAAGUUUUUAUACAAGAAUUUCUAAAAGAAUUAAAAAUAUUAUGAUAAUGAAGAUGAAGAAAAACAAUAAAGCGAUUGUGUACUACACACAUCCAAUUCAUUGUUCAUAUACUAAAACCAUACAGAAACAUUAUGGAGAAUAAUAAUUACGGAAUAAAAUAUCUUUAACCCGAUUUAUAUUUUAAGAAAUUUUAUUUUAGUCUUAUUUACUUUGUGUUUUUGAUGUAUUUUAGUAGUUUUUAAGAUAUAUGUCAAAAAUGCAUGUGGAAUGCUAACAAAAAAUUUCAGCAUGUCAAACAUAAAUGUUGAUGCAUAUUGCUGAGAUAGUAAGAAUAGUAUUAAUUCUCUUUUGAUCAAUUGCACAAUGCAAUUAUGAUUCAUUCAAAUAUCAACUUUAAUAUGAAGCCAAAAUUUUACAUUUUUAAA
RNAcentral lists this long non-coding RNA (1247 nucleotides) under Physcomitrium patens. RNAcentral describes it as "long non-coding RNA (PPAT_LNC013052)". The record is from RNAcentral. Lineage: Eukaryota; Viridiplantae; Streptophyta; Bryopsida; Funariales; Funariaceae.